AAGAAACUUAUUUCAUCAAGCUACACUUAAAUAUACAAUUUAAUAUGAACGCAAACAAGAAAACAAUAGUUCAUCAUCCAUAUCACUAGUGAAAGAAAACCUCCCAAUCAAAAACAGAAAAACCAUCAAAACGUAUGCAUAAAAACUCAUGGGCUUAAGAAAUGUACAAAAGAAUUCACCAAAGAAAUCCUGAACAGAAAACUAGAAAUGAAAUCAUAAUCAAUCCAGCCCUAAAAAAAACCCCUGCAAAAUCAAGAA
RNAcentral lists this unclassified non-coding RNA (258 nucleotides) under Hevea brasiliensis (rubber tree). The record is from RNAcentral. Lineage: Eukaryota; Viridiplantae; Streptophyta; Magnoliopsida; Malpighiales; Euphorbiaceae.